ACGAGUGGUGCAAGCGUUAUUCGGAAUCAUUGGGCGUAAAGGGUGUGUAGACGGCAUAUUAAGUCAAUUGUUAAAUUCUCCGGCCUAACCGGAGGCCUGCAGUAGAAACUGAUGUGCUAGAGGGUGGAAGAGAGAUGUGGAAUUCUCGGAGUAGCGGUAAAAUGCGUAGAUCUCGAGAGGAACACCAAUGGCGAAGGCAGUAUCUUGGUCCAUUUCUGACGUUGAGACACGAAAGCGUGGGGAGCAAACAGGA
This 253-nucleotide ribosomal RNA is filed under the name uncultured prokaryote. RNAcentral describes it as "partial 16S ribosomal RNA". It matches the Rfam family "Bacterial small subunit ribosomal RNA", at positions 525 to 777 of the family's 1533-position model. The record is from RNAcentral.